This 253-nucleotide ribosomal RNA is filed under the name uncultured bacterium. Its description in RNAcentral is "partial 16S ribosomal RNA". It matches the Rfam family "Bacterial small subunit ribosomal RNA", at positions 524 to 776 of the family's 1533-position model. The record is from RNAcentral.
UACGUAGGGUGCAAGCGUUGUCCGGAAUUAUUGGGCGUAAAGAGCUCGUAGGCGGUCUGUCGCGUCGGAUGUGAAAAUCCAGGGCUCAACCCUGGACCUGCAUUCGAUACGGGCAGACUAGAGUUCGGCAGGGGAGACUGGAAUUCCUGGUAUAGCGGUGAAAUGCGCAGAUAUCAGGAGGAACACCGGUGGCGAAGGCGGGUCUCUGGGCCGAUACUGACGCUGAGGAGCGAAAGCGUGGGGAGCGAACAGG